GAGAAAUUAUUUUAAUUAAAAUAUGAAUCUGUCAGAUUCAAGUUAUCAAAAGAUAUUUCUUU
Molecule: transfer RNA, 62 nt
Filed under: Tettigades undata
Lineage: Eukaryota; Metazoa; Arthropoda; Insecta; Hemiptera; Cicadidae
Description: tRNA-Asp
Source: RNAcentral